GUCUACGGCCAUGCCACCCUGAACAAGCCCGAUUCCAUCUGAUCGCGGAAGCUAAGCAGGGUUGGGCCUGGGUAGUGCUUGGAUAGGAGAUCACCUAGAAAGACCAGGUGCGGUAGGCA
RNAcentral lists this ribosomal RNA (119 nucleotides) under Pteropus alecto (black flying fox). The record is from RNAcentral. Lineage: Eukaryota; Metazoa; Chordata; Mammalia; Chiroptera; Pteropodidae.